Molecule: transfer RNA, 73 nt
Filed under: Tigriopus californicus
Lineage: Eukaryota; Metazoa; Arthropoda; Copepoda; Harpacticoida; Harpacticidae
Description: tRNA-Cys for anticodon GCA
Rfam family: tRNA
About the family: Transfer RNA (tRNA) molecules are approximately 80 nucleotides in length. Their secondary structure includes four short double-helical elements and three loops (D, anti-codon, and T loops).
Source: Rfam by way of RNAcentral
GGGGAUAUAGCUCAGUGGGUAGAGCAAUCGGCUGCAGUCCGAUAGGUCCAUGGUUCAACUCCGUGUGUCCCCU